This 398-nucleotide long non-coding RNA is filed under the name Ananas comosus (pineapple). RNAcentral describes it as "long non-coding RNA (ACOM_LNC043768)". The record is from RNAcentral. Lineage: Eukaryota; Viridiplantae; Streptophyta; Magnoliopsida; Poales; Bromeliaceae.
AUAUUCAUGAUAUUCUUCAUAGUGGCGUCGUGGAUUCGGCGUAUUUUACGACGGUUCGUGGAUUCGGAUCGUGAGCUCGUGGAUUCGAGUGGGCGUCAUGGAUUCGACGUGAUCGAGGCUUCGUGGAUUCGAAGUGGUGACGUUUCGUGGAUUUGGGACGUGGCGUUCGUGGAUUCGGACGUGGGGCGUGGAUAACCCGUUGGUGUGCGCGAGAUCCGGAGAAGAUAGAAGAGAGGUUUGAGUCCGUGGAUUCGGUAAAUCACCUUGUAAUCUUUUAUUCUUAGUGGAUUGUUAUCGUAUGUUGGUCCCGUGGGUUUUUUACUCCGAGUUUGGAGUUUUCCCACGUAAAUCUCGGUGUGCUUUUUAUUUUCCGCAUUUAUUUUUAUUGCAUCGAGAUU